CCUACGGGGGGCUGCAGUGGGGAAUAUUGCACAAUGGGGGAAACCCUGAUGCAGCGACGCCGCGUGAGUGAAGAAGUAUUUCGGUAUGUAAAGCUCUAUCAGCAGGGAAGAAAAUGACGGUACCUGACUAAGAAGCCCCGGCUAACUACGUGCCAGCAGCCGCGGUAAUACGUAGGGGGCAAGCGUUAUCCGGAUGUACUGGGUGUAAAGGGAGCGUAGACGGUGAUGCAAGUCAGAAGUGAAAGCCAGGGGCUCAACUCCGGGACUGCUUUUGAAACUGUGUGACUGGAGUGCAGGAGAGGUAAGCGGAAUUCCUGGUGUAGCGGUGAAAUGCGUAGAUAGCAGGAGGAACACCAGUGGCGAAGGCGGCUUACUGGACUGUAACUGACGUUGAGGCUCGAAAGCGUGGGGAGCAAACAGGAUUAGAUACCCUUGUAGUC
RNAcentral lists this ribosomal RNA (440 nucleotides) under uncultured bacterium. RNAcentral's name for it is "partial 16S ribosomal RNA". It matches the Rfam family "Bacterial small subunit ribosomal RNA", at positions 338 to 795 of the family's 1533-position model. The record is from RNAcentral.